UCCCAUUUUUCCUUCCGCUCCUGAGGCUUUAGUGACAUGUCCUUCUCCAGCGCUUCCAGCGUGUUGAAGCUGGCUAUGGCAAAGCCAUCGAUCAGGUCCUCUUCCUGGGAGCUGGACUCGCGGCGGCGGCGACGCGGGGGCCGCGCGGUGCGGGCGGCGGGCGGGGGGCCGCGCGGGGCCGUGCAGUUCUGGGCGCCGUUCUCCUUGCCGGGGCUCGGCUCCUUCUCGGAGCCCGACGAGGGGCUCUGGUUGCGGGGGUCGCGGGCCGCCGCCUCCCGCCGCCGCACGCGGUCCCGCUGCGACCUCGACCUCCGGCUCUGCCGGAUUUUCCCAUCCAUUUCCGAAGAGGAGGCAAAGCAAAAAUAAAAUAAUAAAAAUAUACUUAAAAAAAAAAAAAAGGAAAAAUAAAAGAGGAGAAGGCCAGG
This 425-nucleotide long non-coding RNA is filed under the name Gallus gallus (chicken). Lineage: Eukaryota; Metazoa; Chordata; Aves; Galliformes; Phasianidae. The record is from RNAcentral.